AGUGAUUGAUUAGGAUAUUUUUUGAUUAAACAUCAGUGAUUGAUUAAGAAGAAGUUUACGAAUUUGCGCAGAAAGAAGCUUCGGACAUUCCUGCCAUAGAAAAUCUCAAGGACUUCACACCGCCGCGAAAAAAGAAAAAAAGCAUCGGUUGUGGUCUAUGCAUUGCCGGAAAAUACAACUUAA
This is a long non-coding RNA of Harpegnathos saltator (Jerdon's jumping ant), 183 nucleotides long. RefSeq lists it as uncharacterized. Lineage: Eukaryota; Metazoa; Arthropoda; Insecta; Hymenoptera; Formicidae. The transcript is spliced from 2 exons. The record is from RefSeq and is a predicted model, not a curated record.